UGACUGGGGCGGUCUCCUCCUAAAGAGUAACGGAGGAGCACGAAGGUUGGCUAAUCCUGGUCGGACAUCAGGAGGUUAGUGCAAUGGCAUAAGCCAGCUUGACUGCGAGCGUGACGGCGCGAGCAGGUGCGAAAGCAGGUCAUAGUGAUCCGGUGGUUCUGAAUGGAAGGGCCAUCGCUCAACGGAUAAAAGGUACUCCGGGGAUAACAGGCUGAUACCGCCCAAGAGUUCAUAUCGACGGCGGUGUUUGGCACCUCGAUGUCGGCUCAUCACAUCCUGGGGCUGAAGUAGGUCCCAAGGGUAUGGCUGUUCGCCAUUUAAAGUGGUACGCGAGCUGGGUUUAGAACGUCGUGAGACAGUUCGGUCCCUAUCUGCCGUGGGCGCUGGAGAACUGAGGGGGGCUGCUCCUAGUACGAGAGGACCGGAGUGGACGCAUCACUGGUGUUCGGGUUGUCAUGCCAAUGGCACUGCCCGGUAGCUAAAUGCGGAAGAGAUAAGUGCUGAAAGCAUCUAAGCACGAAACUUGCCCCGAGAUGAGUUCUCCCUGAGACUUAGAGUCUCCUGAAGGAACGUUGAAGACGACGACGUUGAUAGGCCGGGUGUGUAAGCGCAGCGAUGCGUUGAGCUAACCGGUACUAAUGAACCGUGAGGCUUAACCUUACA
This 663-nucleotide ribosomal RNA is filed under the name Salmonella enterica. RNAcentral's name for it is "partial 23S ribosomal RNA". It matches the Rfam family "Bacterial large subunit ribosomal RNA", at positions 2270 to 2925 of the family's 2925-position model. The record is from RNAcentral. Lineage: Bacteria; Pseudomonadati; Pseudomonadota; Gammaproteobacteria; Enterobacterales; Enterobacteriaceae.